This 488-nucleotide ribosomal RNA is filed under the name uncultured bacterium. RNAcentral's name for it is "partial 16S ribosomal RNA". It matches the Rfam family "Bacterial small subunit ribosomal RNA", at positions 28 to 506 of the family's 1533-position model. The record is from RNAcentral.
GAUGAACGCUAGCGAUAGGCUUAACACAUGCAAGUCGAGGGGCAGCAUGGUCUUAGCUUGCUAAGACUGAUGGCGACCGGCGCACGGGUGCGUAACGCGUAUGCAACUUGCCUCACAGAGGGGGAUAACCCGUCGAAAGACGGACUAAUACCGCGUACACUCCAUCUUGGGCAUCCAAGGUAGAGGAAAUGAAAUUCGCUGUGAGAUAGGCAUGCGUCCCAUUAGCUAGUUGGUGAGGUAACGGCUCACCAAGGCGACGAUGGGUAGGGGAACUGAGAGGUGGAACCCCCACACUGGUGCUGAGAAACGGACAGACUCCGACGGGAGGCAGCAGUGAGGAAUAUUGGUCAAUGGGCGAGAGCCUGAACCAGCCAAGUCGCGUGAAGGAUGACUGUCUUAUGGAGUGUAAACUUCUUUUAUACGGGAAUAACAAGAGUCACGUGUGACUCCCUGCAUGUACCGUAUGAAUAAGCAUCGGCUAACUCCGU